GUCAUUCAGGGAUCCCGGCUCUUUCAUGCAAAAGUUCUGCCAUUCCCUUAGGCCCUGGAGUUUUCAGCUAGUUUUCUGCAGAGGGUCAGCAAAGGGGUGAAGGGAAGAAAUAGGAUGGAGCAUCCUGCUGGAGGAUUAGGGUUCGGGCCUGGGGGGGUGGCCAGCACAUCAUUCACAUGCCUAUCUUGCUGACCAGAACUCAGACAUGUGGCCCCAUCUAACCUGGGGGAGGCUGGAAUGCAUAGCCCUGCUGAGAGCCCAGGACAAAAGGGAGCUGGAUCUGGCAAGCGCACCGCACUGACUUUACCAUAACAUGUUUAGGAGGUAAAUCAUCAGGGCUCUAUAACUGAUUCACCAUGGAGGACAGAGAAAGGAAAAACCAGAGAGCUUCCAGGUUUCCACCAAGGAGUUUGGAACAGGAUGCCUUAGAUGGUGAAUACAGCAGCCACUGCCUGAGCAAGAGAGAGCUGGACACAGAGGCUUGCAUUUAGAAGAGAAGCCGGUCUGGAAAGGGCCGUCAGGGAGCAAGCCCUGCCUGGCUGGCAUGUAGCAGAGCUGCAUGGGGGAGGCCUCACAGGCCCUGCCAGGCAGCCCGGGAGGCGCAGGCCGCCCUUAGAGACAAGACAGAGGCUGGACACAGAGCCUGACUGGCCGAGACCUUUCCAGUGAAUUCUGUGCCACCAGAAGGACAGGCCAGCCCCAGUGGACUCUAGGCUUUGUCCCUGCAGGAGCCUGGCCUCCCAGAAUCUAAGCCCUUCACUGGACCCAGCUCCAUGGCCUGCAGGCAGGAGGCCCUCAAUGAACACGGGCUGGCAUGGUGUGAAUUCACCACCCUGCCUCUCCGCUCCUUCGUACUUCCCAGGAGGGGAAAUACAACAGGCGUGUCCAGCAUCACAGGGCAGAAACUCUCCACAAAAGCCUCAGACUAGACUAAGAGAGACAUUAUUCACUUCCAAAUGCUCCAAACGGCAAAAGAGUGAGCCUGAGGACAAGAAAAGUAUUCAGGACUGUAAAUAUUUAAGGAGCAACCACUCAAUGCCAAGGAUGCUGGGCUCUGAGCCAAACCACAUUCAGGAAGAGACCAGUGUACAGCAUGAAAGACUUAGGUUUUCACAUUUGUUUGAAAACGUAAGCAAUUACUAAGUAAAAAUUAAAAGACUGGCUCCGUGUGGUGGCUCAUCCCA
This is a long non-coding RNA of Cebus imitator (Panamanian white-faced capuchin), 1184 nucleotides long. RefSeq lists it as uncharacterized. Lineage: Eukaryota; Metazoa; Chordata; Mammalia; Primates; Cebidae. The record is from RefSeq and is a predicted model, not a curated record. The transcript has 4 exons.